This is a non-coding RNA of Kogia breviceps (pygmy sperm whale), 2686 nucleotides long. The record is from RefSeq and is a predicted model, not a curated record. NCBI's taxonomy places the organism in Eukaryota, Metazoa, Chordata, Mammalia, Artiodactyla, Physeteridae.
CGUCCGAUCCGAAGCAGGUUUGAAACUGGGGGUUGGGCUCGGCCCUCGUUGUCUGUCGCUGAGGGCCCUCUUCCGGGCUAGGCCGUCCGUGCCCGCCCCCGCCCCGCCUCCCUUCGGACCCCUGGGUUCCAGGCCCGGCUCCCUUCCCGAUUCGCGCCCCCGCCCUCCUCAGCCCGCUGCCGUCCCGGUCCGCACUGCGGCCCCGCCGCCGCCACCAUGUCCCUGCACGGAAAACGGAAGGAGAUCUACAAGUAUGAAGCGCCCUGGACCGUCUACGCCAUGAACUGGAGCGUGCGGCCCGACAAGCGCUUUCGCCUGGCGCUGGGCAGCUUCGUGGAGGAGUACAACAACAAGGAAAGUGGGAAGAAUAAGAGUACCUACCUCAUGGAGAUGUUGAGAGGAUUAAAUGAGGUCCAGCUUGUUGGUUUAGACGAAGAGAGUUCGGAGUUUAUUUGCCGGAACACCUUCGACCAUCCGUACCCCACCACAAAGCUCAUGUGGAUCCCUGACACAAAAGGCGUCUAUCCAGACCUGCUGGCGACGAGCGGCGACUAUCUUCGCGUGUGGAGGGUUGGUGAAACAGAGACCAGGCUGGAAUGUUUGCUAAACAAUAACAAGAACUCGGAUUUCUGUGCUCCUCUGACCUCCUUUGACUGGAAUGAGGUGGAUCCUUAUCUUUUAGGUACCUCCAGCAUUGACACGACGUGUACCAUAUGGGGGCUGGAGACCGGGCAGGUGUUGGGGCGAGUGAAUCUUGUGUCCGGCCAUGUGAAGACCCAGCUGAUUGCCCAUGACAAAGAGGUCUAUGAUAUUGCAUUUAGCCGGGCCGGGGGUGGCAGGGACAUGUUUGCCUCUGUGGGUGCUGAUGGCUCGGUGCGGAUGUUUGACCUCCGUCAUCUGGAACACAGCACCAUCAUUUACGAAGACCCACAGCAUCACCCACUGCUUCGCCUCUGCUGGAACAAGCAGGACCCCAACUACCUAGCCACCAUGGCCAUGGACGGAAUGGAGGUAGUGAUUCUGGACGUUCGAGUUCCCUGCACGCCUGUCGCCAGGUUAAACAACCACCGAGCAUGUGUCAAUGGCAUUGCUUGGGCCCCACAUUCAUCCUGCCACAUCUGUACUGCAGCGGAUGACCAUCAGGCUCUCAUCUGGGACAUCCAGCAAAUGCCCCGGGCCAUCGAGGACCCUAUCCUGGCCUACACAGCCGAGGGAGAGAUCAACAACGUGCAGUGGGCGUCGACUCAGCCCGACUGGAUUGCCAUCUGCUACAACAACUGCCUGGAGAUACUCAGAGUGUAGUGUCGGUGGCGCCGUGCCCAUGAGGCAGGGGCUUGUGUGUUUCCCGCCUCUGUCCCACCCCCAAAACUCCCAGCCCUGUCACCCUCCUUAGGCCCUGCAGUGUGGUCUGGUCCUCUUCCUUUCAACAUCCCACCUGGGCCCAGAACUUUCUCCCUGCUGCAGCCUGGGCCUUGAAUUUCUAGGCUGUAAGGUAUGUAGGAGCUGCAGGGUCUACCAACCACGGGAGGCCAGCCUAGUUACUUCCCUCCACCGUCCCCAGCUCCUUUGACUGCUGACUUGGGAGAAGGGAGACCAUUAAAGUAGAAGCCCCAAAGCAGCCUCUUCCCUUUCCUGUCUGCGCUCCAGGAUGAGGAGGGAGGAUCAUGCUUGGCACUGAAGUUGGGUUUUCCCUGGGAGGAAAGCUGAGCUGAGCAGUCACUGUGAACCCUGGGCCAGGCUCUCCAAGAAUUGCCAUCCCUGUACUGGCUGGGCCAGCUACUCAGUGUUGCAGAGCCUCACCCUCUUUUCCCACCGUUGUCAUUGCUGCUAGUGGUCAAAGUCAAAUGUCUGGCCACAUGGGAUGGGCCAGCUCCUCUCAGGCUACUUCCUGGAUGUGAUUUUUAAGUAUAGAAACAUGCAGGUGCCUUCCCAAGAGGCUUGGACUGGUGUAUCAGGCCAGAAACAGAUAAGCUAAUCAAAGUAUAAACUCAAGAGGAAGGAGGAUGCUGGCAGUCUGUGUAAGAGCUGGAAAACUUACAAGUACUGGCCUUUGGGAAAACCCAGUGAAUAAGAACUUGUGAUACCUGCUAUUUAAAAGAAUGUUCUCACCUUGGGUUGAUUGUGGUAAUACAGUGUGUUAUGAAACUUGUGGAGCUAAAGCUUUGACUUGCUUGAGUCGAAUAUGGAUCAUUUGAUAUGGUUCCUGUGUAUUUGAUGACCCCUCUUUCAAUGAUUUUCCAUCCUUCCUCCCCCGAGCGUGAAUUUGUAGCAUGAUUGUACAAAUCUCUAUGUAGAGAAAAUGGAGAUUCCUUGUUCUCUGAAGUGUUAAGCGUUAGCCAAUCCAUUUCUGUCCCCUUUAGCCUAAUGUGUCUGAACUGAAUUUCCUGUUAUAUAUUUAAAGUUUUCCUCUACAUUAUAGGUUUUGUGGCAUCCCAUGGUCAGGUGGAGAGGAAGCUGCCCCUUGCAGAACUGUACUGUAACCAUUUUUUUAAAAAAAAACAUUAUUUUCACAGGAUUGAUUAUACACAGGGCUUGUAAAAAAAUUUUUAACACUGUGCUGUGAAACCAUGAUGGUAAAUCUCCAUUGAAGGCUACUUCAAAGGCACCUGAAAGUGGAGUGUUAUAUCUAUGAUUUUAUUUCUUGCUUCCUGAGUAUAUUAAACCUAAUUUUCACCCUUUCAUUCUG